ACCCUCUCAGGAUCACACCUGGAGAGUUUCCCGUACUCUGCCAGUCUCAGCUAUGGAAGGAAGGGUCAACCAGAGGCAAACCCAUUCCAUUCCUAGCUUGGCAGUGGCUAGUGAGUGGAAGGCAAUCUGCUACAAGU
Molecule: small nucleolar RNA, 137 nt
Organism: Ornithorhynchus anatinus (platypus)
Lineage: Eukaryota; Metazoa; Chordata; Mammalia; Monotremata; Ornithorhynchidae
Source: RefSeq, a predicted model, not a curated record